AUUGAACGCUGGCGGCAUGCUUUACACAUGCAAGUCGAACGGCAGCGCGGGGGCAACCCUGGCGGCGAGUGGCGAACGGGUGAGUAAUACUUCGGAACGUACCCAGUAGCGGGGGAUAACGCAGCGAAAGUUGUGCUAAUACCGCAUACGCUCUACUGAGGCAAGAGGGGGAUCGCAAGACCUCUCACUAUUGGAGCGGCCGAAGCCUGAUUAGCUAGUUGGUGGGGUAAAGGCCCACCAAGGCGACGAUCAGUAGCUGGUUUGAGAGAACGACCAGCCACACUGGGACUGAGACACGGCCCAGACUCCUACGGGAGGCAGCAGUGGGGAAUUUUGGACAAUGGGGGCAACCCUGAUCCAGCCAUGCCGCGUGCGGGAAGAAGGCCUUCGGGUUGUAAACCGCUUUUGUUCGGGAAGAAAUCGACUUCGCUAAUACCGGGGUUGGAUGACGGUACCGGAAGAAUAAGCACCGGCUAACUACGUGCCAGCAGCCGCCGUAA
This 500-nucleotide ribosomal RNA is filed under the name uncultured bacterium. RNAcentral's name for it is "partial 16S ribosomal RNA". It matches the Rfam family "Bacterial small subunit ribosomal RNA", at positions 29 to 523 of the family's 1533-position model. The record is from RNAcentral.